RNAcentral lists this long non-coding RNA (252 nucleotides) under Elaeis guineensis (African oil palm). Its description in RNAcentral is "long non-coding RNA (EGUI_LNC016191)". The record is from RNAcentral. Lineage: Eukaryota; Viridiplantae; Streptophyta; Magnoliopsida; Arecales; Arecaceae.
AUUGCACCCGAGAAACUCCUCCUGUUGAAGGAGCAACUGGCGCAGCUGUCGACUGUUCAGAUUCGAUUGCGGUUUUCACCUCAGCUCGAACCUCAUUCGGUGGAGCUGUUGAUGGUGCCGUGGUAGCUCUAUCUUCACUUCUGCCCUUUCAACUGACAGCACGUUGGGAAGUGCUAUCGGGGCUGACAGCGCUAGAAUCGGUUCAGGAAUCGAUGCAGGUUGUACAUCGGGUUCCUCAGUCGGCACAGAAGC